RNAcentral lists this ribosomal RNA (252 nucleotides) under uncultured bacterium. Its description in RNAcentral is "partial 16S ribosomal RNA". It matches the Rfam family "Bacterial small subunit ribosomal RNA", at positions 524 to 776 of the family's 1533-position model. The record is from RNAcentral.
UACGGAGGAUGCGAGCGUUAUCCGGAUUUAUUGGGUUUAAAGGGUGCGUAGGCGGACUGUCAAGUCAGCGGUAAAAUUGAGAGGCUCAACCUCUUCCCGCCGUUGAAACUGGUGGUCUUGAGUGGAUGAGAAGUACGCGGAAUGCGUGGUGUAGCGGUGAAAUGCAUAGAUAUCAAGCAGAACUCCGAUUGCGAAGGCAGCGUACCGGCAUCCAACUGACGCUGAGGCACGAAAGCGUGGGGAUCAAACAGG